Xyrichtys novacula (pearly razorfish) is the source of this 3870-nucleotide non-coding RNA. The record is from the annotation of a GenBank genome assembly. Lineage: Eukaryota; Metazoa; Chordata; Actinopteri; Labriformes; Labridae.
GACGGACAGACAGACUCAUAUACUGAAUGUUCUCUAUCAGACGCUUUGUCAUGAGCUGUAGGUUCUUACGGAGAGAAAACUGCUGCUGUCAGAGCCAAAGAAGUCAGCAAACAUUUUACUGUCUGGACAUAAAGAGAUAAUUCCACUUUUUAAGAGCAUGUUAAAAUCAUAAACAGUCAUUGAGAGGACUUGGCUGCCUGUUUACUUGUGUGCAGAAGUGCUUCUGUGGUGUUUAACAUGAACAUGAUGAAAUACAGCAUGGAGGUUGUUUCUGUCAGGCCUCAUGUUCUGGUUUCAGAUUUUGUGUGACCCUCAGGUGCUAACAGAGUUAAUCCAGUGAACAAGCUGCAGCCUUAAAUCCCUCAAACUCACGCGGUCUCGCUGUUUUUCGUUGUGAUGUUUUUUUUUCAUGUUUUAUGCUGCAGCAGAGUCCGGCCUUGAACAGAAGCUCUAAAUCUGACCCUGUAACUCAGACCCACUGAUAUAAAUCAGGACUCGUGCCUCUCUUGAGGGACGUUCACUGCUGACUUACAAGCUCUGAGGAGGGAGAGAGAGAGGAAUUAACACUGCCAUGACGACCAGUGUGUGUUAGAAAUAUCACAUCAAUGCCUGUCAAUACUUCACUUUUAAUAUAUGAUGUCAGACAUGAGUCUUUAUGACAGACAGUAGAUACCUGCUGAGAUUUUAAAGAUCAACACUAAACUUCACUUCACACUGCAGCAGGGAUCUGAGGGGAGUUUGUCUGUACUGAAGGAAAAUCUACAUUUCAAUUGGUCUGACUGCUAGUUUCAAGUUUAGAUGGAACUUUAGGAGGAAGGCAAGAAAGAAGUUGAAUGGUUGUUGAGCUGAUAUUUCUGUCACUUCUCAUUUAUACUCAUUAAGACUUCACCACAUCCUAUUUCCUACGCAGCCUGGUGGUGAGGACGGUUUGUUUGUUAUAUGCUACUGUUUCACCACAAUAACUACAUGUUGCUGCACGUCCAAAACCUACGACUGGGCUAAACUUUUGUUUUUAAACACAUUGCUUAUUUAUGAUCUUAAAUAUUUUGUUUGAUUUUGAGUUUAUAACCCCAAAUUUUCACCGCAUCUGGAGCAGCUCAGAUCUGGAACAGCCGUGAUUUUCACCGUCUGCCAAUUCCUACUGGAUCUGUUUGUGAGGCAAAUUUUGUGGCGGAUUACGGACAGCUGGAAUCGCGAGAGCUCACAAGAACCCGCAGAUUCACGUUCAGUCACACGAUAACGAGCUGUCUCUAGCCACAGAGGCUAACCAUAUAAGCAGUAGAUUGUGUUCUUCCAGAGGAGGAAAUCUACUUCUAGACUUCUAGAAUCAGCAUCUCCUCAUCCAUGGUGUCAUCGGGGUGAAAUGACGUCUAAAAACCUUUCACUUGUUCGUCUCCGCCCGUUUGCAUGGUGUGAAAUACGAUCCUCCUGAAACACGGAGUGUUUUAUUUUGAAAAGAAGCCAGAUGUUUUAUUUUGUGUCUGUUCCCGACUUCCUUUCCAGCACGGGUUAAUCUGUGCUGAAUUUAUCCGCCAUGCUCCGGCGUCCAGAAAAAAUAGAACUCUUGCGAUCAGCUGAGGAGUCCGGCGAUCCGCAGAGGAACGGAAAGAAGUCGGUGGAAAUUGACACGUUAACUUGAACGGCUACGAUCAGCUACGAUCGGAGGAUAUGACCUUUUCGAAGCCAUUCCGGAUGGGGUGGAAAUUGGGGGUAAGACAUGUUAGCAACAAAAAGAGCAUUGAGAUCAAAGUACUUGAAAUAGGAAUAAAUAGUGAUUUAUUUUCUUUAACAGCAGGGGGCGCUCUGAGCAGAGCCAUAUACAUGACAGCAGUUAAAGAUUUUGCUGUUUCAAAAAUAAUCUCUGUAUUUCCCACACAUCUAUAGACAAAGCCUCCUUUUAUUCAGCUGUUUAUCCCAUCUUCUUUGUCUUGUUUUCCACUUAAAUUGACUUAUGUUUCUUCUAUCAGGGAUAUAAAACUGUAAAGAUGAAAACAUAGAAAAUAUAAAAAUACAGUAUGUUUGUGUUUUACUGCUGUGUGAGCUACAAAGAGAGAGAGAGAGGGCGAGAGACCAAAAGACAACAGUGUGUCUGUCAUCGACUUAAGAUUUAAAGUCUGCAGAGGAAGAGCUCAUUAAUACUAAAGUACACAACGUGACUUCAUCCAACACACACACACACACACACACACACACACACACACACACACACACACACACACACACACACACACACACACACACACAGGGGAUGACCUCAUGCUGAGCGUCAGUUGGUUGAUGAGUCUCCCUGUCACUCACUGUGAGUGUUUUUACCAUCUCAACAUUAUUUAUGACUCCUGACGUUAUUUUCAGAUGCUUUUGUGUCAACACUGAAACACCAUCGUACUUUUUUCCUUUGGUACACAAUCCAUUUGUGAGUAAUUACUAAUAAAAUACUGUUGUAUUCUAGAUUUUAAAGUACAUAAUCAUGUGGGAGACUUUAUCAUCUUAUCUCUGACUAGAAAAUACAAUUGUCAGUGCAAAUCAAAUCACAAUGACUGAAAAUUCAAGUGUGCACCAAUUCACAGCGGUAAACAUGUGAUGGUCUGAAAGUUCAGUAAUAAAUAUAUUUGUGUCAUGAGUUUUUACAGCAGCAGGGAACUUCACAAACCCUCUGCGGUGUCAUGUCGCCCUCUAGCGGCUGAAUGAAGCACCAUCACAAGCAUCGGCAUUGAACUGUAUUGAUGGUUCUUUCAAGGUAUUCGGAAAUACCAGCUUCACAGGGAUGCAAAAUAUUCACAGAGAAGAAAGUAGAGUUUGACCCCACAUUAUAACCUGGUUAGGACAUACGUGUUACCAACAGGUCAAACCUUAAGUAUCAACAGUUCAAGCACUGUCCACUAGAACAUCUCCAAAGACUGAUGUCGAUCCAAUAAUGAUUUUGUCAUCAAGUAUGUCAGCUUCAAUAAUAAUAAUAAUAAUAAUCAUUAAAAAAUCUAAAUGUUUCUCUUUUAUUAUUUUAUACCAGCUAAAGAGUGGAGAAGACAGCGCAGGGCUUGACACUAACUUUUUUCCACAAGGAGCGCAUGUUCUCCUGAGCUGAAAAAGUAAGAACUUUAGGAGCACAAUGAGAGUUGUUUGAAUAAUGUUUGUCUUAUUGGUCGACAUAAGUACUAUCAUCUUAUAUCAAUUUGAAGUCUUUUGGUCACAUGACAUGGAAGCUAUUGAAAAAAUGUUCAAAAUUUGCCUUUAAGUUUAACAAAAUAAAAUUAAGAGGACAAAUUAGGGAAAUAAAGAAGUGUGUCUUAUGGUCCGACUUAAGUACUAUUACUUAAAAAUCAAUUUUAUGUCCGUUGGUCGCAUGAUAUGGAAGCUAUUGAAGGAAAACAGCCUUUUUAAUUUAUUGACGGUCCCUUUUUUAAGACCCGACGUUGACAGCGAGGAUGUCGAGUAGAUUUAACCGCGCUGCUGUUGUUAUUCCCGGUUAUGGAGAGUGAGAAGACACCGGUAGAUCCUCAGUGAAUGUCCGUCGAAUAUCCAACCUAAAACUAACUUCACCGCCGUAUUUACAUGAGAAAACACUGAAACGGGCACACUGUCGAUCCCUGCAGCGGCAAAACGUACUUCCUUUAGCCGGAUAGCGGUUAAAGCUCAACCGGAGAGACAUGAUAAACACCAGAGCCAAUGACACAUGACAAAAGUAUCGGACUUUAAGCCCAUUAAGGUAACUUACAGUUAAAUUGUCGUUUUCCAGAGGUCAUCCUGAUCUUUGUCCUGUUUUCCAUCACCAUCCUCCUUCAUUUUGGCCGUAAAGACGUCGUUACUUAGUUAGCCUUAGCUAGCAGUUAGCUUCUUCGAUAGUACUAGCAGUUUAAGACCACCGUUACAUUC